This 449-nucleotide ribosomal RNA is filed under the name uncultured bacterium. RNAcentral's name for it is "bacterial SSU rRNA". It matches the Rfam family "Bacterial small subunit ribosomal RNA", at positions 355 to 796 of the family's 1533-position model. The record is from RNAcentral.
UGGGGAAUCUUGGACAAUGGGGGCAACCCUGAUCCAGCGAUGCCGCGUGGGUGAAGAAGGCCUUCGGGUUGUAAAGCCCUUUAGGUUGGGACGAAGGUUACGAGGGGAUAAUACUCGUAGCUUGACGGUACUAACAGAAUAAGCACCGGCAAACUCUGUGCCAGCAGCCGCGGUAAUACAGAGGGUGCAAGCGUUAAUCGGAGUUACUGGGCGUAAAGGGCGCGUAGGCGGUUUAAUGGGUGUGAUGUGAAAGCCUUGGGCUUAACCUGAGAAGUGCAUCGCAAACUAAUAGACUGGAGUAUAUGAGAGGGUGGCGGAAUUUCCGGUGUAGCGGUGAAAUGCGUAGAGAUCGGAAGGAACGUCAAUGGCGAAGGCAGCCACCUGGCAUAAUACUGACGCUGAGGCGCGAAAGCGUGGGGAGCGAACAGGAUUAGAUACCCGCGUAGUCC